GCAGCAUAUUGGUAGUGUUUACCUGCUGCAUCCAGUCCGCCUGGGCUGGGUUGGAGCUGCUCUCUGGGAUCUGGUUAGCAGCUAAUGAUCAGUGGGCUCUGGCUAUAAUGAUCGGAUUAGCUGCGCUUUAAUCACUGUCUAUUGUUUCAGCAGGGAGAGAAUUUCACAGCUCAUUGACUGCUCUGACUCCUAAUCUACACCGAGGAAACAAUGUUGCAGCUCAUCAAAUGCAAUCAGCUGCUAAUUGAAAGGAAAUGGAAUUUUACAAUUACAGGCCACCUUUCAGUGCUCAGGAUUUCUAAGCACUUCUCCCCACCUUCCUUUGCCAGCUCAGCACUGGCAGGAGCACUUGACAACCUGCUAGAGACUUCCCUAAAAGCUGCAUUUAGGACCUGGCCCGUUCUCCCCAGCUCCAGAGCAGCAGCAAAGGGAAGCAGCGUCCUCGCCAAUACCUGGGCUGUCCUUCAAGGCUCAGUGCAAGGAAAAACACCUGGGUUGGACAUCAGGCUCAUGAUGAGUGUUGAAGGCAUUAUGACUCUCACCCAGAGGGACACCAUGUCUAGGAGCUUCUUCUCGUGUGGGCCCUGUUCUCCAGAUGUCUGAUGGAUAAGGAAAUUGAGACUCAAAGAGGACCCCCAUGGAGAAAGUAAUGAAGCUUGAAUUUAGACCCAAGAUCAUGUCCCUUUCACUUCCUCAGCCUGCCCAGGAAGUUUAUAGCGUGCUCAUGCCACAAACCCUGGAGCUGGAUACGCGCUCAAUUGGCUUGAAGACCUUGGGUAGUGCUGACUUCCAGACCACUGAGGUCACCUGCAUAAGCGAGUCUGGCAACAAAUAAUCGUCUUCCAGAAAAUGACCAGAAACUCAGCCUGCUUUUUGUCAUUUCACCAGCCCCACCAUCUUUCCUUUAUUCUAGAGCUCCUGGCACACUUACAUGAAUCUCUUGAAAGAAGAGAAAUGAGAGCAUUCAUUCCAUACUAAUACAAUUGUGCCCUAUGGAAAGGCUUUUUGCUGGCAGACAUAGUAGACGGACCAUUUCCCAACUUCUUUUUCUUUGCCACCUUCCAGCCAAAGGUGUCCAUAUGACACAGCUCUGGACAGGAUAAUUGGAAGUCUGUUGUGGGAUUUCUGAGAAAGCUUUUGAUUUUCUGACAGAGACAUUUUUGCUUCCCCUUACCACUUCCUACUGGAUUACAGAUGUGAUGGAAAGAGCUGCAGCAGCCAUAAUACAACCAUAAAGGAGAGGAGAAGAGAAUUGCAAAGGCAUCAACCCACAUUGAAUUGAACUGCUAAGUUAACACUAGCAGUUACUUGCCUCCAGAUAUCUUGGUGUGUGAGAACAUUAAAUCUGUAUGUGUCUAAAUCAGUAUGGGUGAACAUUUCUGUCACUAAAGUCAAAAGCAUCCCUGAAACAGUGCAUGAUUCCAUAUGACCCUUACCACAACCCUGGUAAAUAG
This 1454-nucleotide long non-coding RNA is filed under the name Homo sapiens (human). RNAcentral's name for it is "HSALNT0361584". Lineage: Eukaryota; Metazoa; Chordata; Mammalia; Primates; Hominidae. The record is from RNAcentral.